Molecule: long non-coding RNA, 798 nt
Filed under: Pan troglodytes (chimpanzee)
Lineage: Eukaryota; Metazoa; Chordata; Mammalia; Primates; Hominidae
Description: long non-coding RNA NONPTRT013183
Source: RNAcentral
UUCUUAUCUGCCAUGCAGCGGGGAGGACCAGUUGGAGAGGUUGCUUUUGGCUCUCACACCUUAGUGUAAAAAUCACUUUGUGAAAAAUGCAGCUGUCACCUCCUUCCUCCAAGAUUCUGAUUCUGCCUCAGUUAGGAUCCAGGAAUCUGCAUUUUAACAUGCACACCAGGAAUUCUGAUGCCCAAGGUUGAGCAAAACUGACUUAGGGCGUACAGACAGAGGAUGCCUUAGUGUGGGGUCUUAGUUGGGUUUCAUUGCUUGGGGCAGUUCCAGGAGGAAUAGGCUAAAAGGGACUUGAACUGAAUUCCCCACCUUGUAUUUUUUUUUUGAGGAGAAGUGAGGUUAGAUCAAUCAGGUGAUGGGGGCUAGUAAUGGGGAGAUCUCUAAGGAGAGGGGAACCAACCCUUUUGGCUAGGAGAUGAUGGGUAAGAGUCCGUGCUUUAGGGUCAUUCUUCCUCAACUGAAAGGUGCAUCUUGCUAUGCUGCUAAUAUUUCGGUUUAUUCAUUGCUGUCUCCCCUCUAAGCUGUUGAGCUAUCAGGUGGGGAAGAAAACAUGACAGAAACAGAUGCCUUCUAUAAAAGAGAAAUGUUUGAUCCGGCAGAAAAGUACAAAAUGGACCACAGGAGGCGAGGAAUUGCUUUAAUCUUCAAUCAUGAGAGGUUCUUUUGGCACUUAACACUGCCAGAAAGGCGGGGCACCUGUGCAGAUAGAGACAAUCUUACCCGCAGGUAGUAGAUUUAUCUACCUAUCAAGAUGAGGCAGUUAAGUGAUAAAAUUACUUUUGGCCAGGUGUGGUG